AAAAAAUGAAACUUCGAUAUCUGAAGCAAAGACUAAGCAAGUACACAGGCUCUUCCGGCAAUCAACAGGCAAGGCUAUAGUGAUGAUGCACCUUUCAUGGAUGCAAUUAAUAUUUGCCUUGAUCAAAGCUGUUUUUCUUGGAUAAUUUUCUGAAUCAUCUCAUUACACGCAACUCCAAUGUAUCGAAGUUCAUUNUAACAUGUCUUUAAGUAAUUCAUGUAUCCAGUUGAAUCCAAAAGAAAGACCUGUCUUCAGCAGAGGCAAUGUAUGGCUGUUUACAUUGAUUUAUAAUAUGGCUAAUAAGGAGGAGAAUUAUCGUAGGAAUAUGACAUUUACAUUAUAAACAUUAAGCAGAAGAGCUGUACCCUCUUCCUGCACCGUAUUCCUUGAUUAUUAACAAUUUGAGGUAGGUCCAAUAACAGCUUCCUCUUACACUGUUUCAGCAAGUCAUCCCUGAACACCUGACUUCCCAUACUAGUAAAGUUUGGAGAUUCGCGGCAUUGAACAUUUGUGCUUUCGAUCAUGAUAAAGCCUUAAUAUAACUGCUGCAGUUUCUUCUAUUGCUUUCCCUGUCACUUCGAUUACUGGCCAGACAGGAUUUUGUGCAAAAACCCUGCAAGCACAUUCCAACUCCUCUCUCACAUAGUCCAUCUCAGAAUAAUUACUCCUCACUUCUUGGCUGAACCCAAGACUUCUAGCUCUUGCUUUUCUGAUCGCCUGUAAAACCACAGGAUUAAUGGUAAGACCAAAAACCUUCUCUGAGUCAACCUCAAAGAGGCUCUUUGGCAAUUCUACACCCAUCACAAUAGGCACAUUUGCCACUUUGUAUCCUUUCUGAGCUAGGUAAAUUGACAACGGUGUCUUUCCAGUACGAGAAACACCGGCAAGAACAAUGUCAGCCUUGUACAAGUUCUGAGGCAGGGCACCGUCAUCUUGCUUGAUGGUGAAUUCAAUGGCUUCAAUACGUCGAAAGUAUUCAUCAGAAAGGGGAAAGUUCCUGCCAGGAGCUCCACGGGGUAGACCAGAGGGCGAGACGCCCAGAUGAGAAGCAACUGCCUCUGUUAUUGGACCCAGUAUGUCAGUAGAUGGUAUUCCCCAUAACUUGCAGGCUUGUCUAGCUGAUUCAGCCAUGGAAGGAUCAGCUAGAGUGUAGACUACCAUUGCACCUUCUUUAGCUGCUUGUUUUAUUAUCUCCAUUAACGUUUCUAUAUCAUCUAUCCCUGAAAACAGAUGAGUAUUUACAGGACAACCACGAUCGACCAAGCAGUGCUCGAACUGCCCCAAGGCAGCGUUAACGGAGUGCUCCACCGUCCAUCCAGUGCCGUCAGAAACCAUGUAAAUGGACUUCCCACCAGUGACCUCCAACUCCACGGCUUCAUCAUCUCUGUUG
Molecule: unclassified non-coding RNA, 1390 nt
Filed under: Hevea brasiliensis (rubber tree)
Lineage: Eukaryota; Viridiplantae; Streptophyta; Magnoliopsida; Malpighiales; Euphorbiaceae
Source: RNAcentral